RNAcentral lists this transfer RNA (85 nucleotides) under Methylobacterium indicum. RNAcentral describes it as "tRNA-Tyr". The record is from RNAcentral. Lineage: Bacteria; Pseudomonadati; Pseudomonadota; Alphaproteobacteria; Hyphomicrobiales; Methylobacteriaceae.
GAGAAGGAUGGGCGGGCGGACGCCCACAAGACUGUAAAUCUUGCGCCUCUGUGCAUGGGGAGUUCGAGCCUCCCCCUUCUCACCA